UUGCUAAUCUGUCAGCUAAGUGGCGCACGGGUGAGUAAUAUAUAGGUAACGUGCCUUCAAGAGGGGGAUAACAGAUGGAAACGUCUGCUAAAACCCCAUAUGCCUUUAAUGCGAAAGUAUGCAAGGGAAAUAUUUAUAGCUUGAAGAUCGGCCUGUACAGUAUCAGAUAGUUGGUGAGGUAAUGGCUCACCAAGUCAAUGACGCUUAACUGGUUUGAGAGGAUGAUCAGUCACACUGGAACUGAGACACGGUCCAGACUCCUACGGGAGGCAGCAGUGGGGAAUAUUGCACAAUGGGGGAAACCCUGAUGCAGCAACGCCGCGUGGAGGAUGACACAUUUCGGUGCGUAAACUCCUUUUAUAUAAGAAGAUAAUGACGGUAUUAUAUGAAUAAGCACCGGCUAACUCCGUGCCAGCAGCCGCGGUAAUACGGAGGGUGCAAGCGUUACUCGGAAUCACUGGGCGUAAAGAGCGUGUGGGCGGAUAGAUAAGUCAGAAGUGAAAUCCAAUAGCUUAACUAUUGAACUGCUUUUGAAACUGUCUAUCUAGAGUAUGGGAGAGGUAGAUGGAAUUUCUGGUGUAGGGGUAAAAUCCGUAGAGA
This 600-nucleotide ribosomal RNA is filed under the name uncultured bacterium. Its description in RNAcentral is "bacterial SSU rRNA". It matches the Rfam family "Bacterial small subunit ribosomal RNA", at positions 69 to 696 of the family's 1533-position model. The record is from RNAcentral.